RNAcentral lists this ribosomal RNA (434 nucleotides) under uncultured Lachnospiraceae bacterium. RNAcentral describes it as "bacterial SSU rRNA". It matches the Rfam family "Bacterial small subunit ribosomal RNA", at positions 341 to 792 of the family's 1533-position model. Lineage: Bacteria; Bacillati; Bacillota; Clostridia; Lachnospirales; Lachnospiraceae. The record is from RNAcentral.
ACGGAAGGCAGCAGUGGGGAAUAUUGCACAAUGGGGGAAACCCUGAUGCAGCGACGCCGCGUGAGCGAAGAAGUAUUUCGGUAUGUAAAGCUCUAUCAGCAGGGAAGAAAAUGACGGUACCUGACUAAGAAGCCCCGGCUAACUACGUGCCAGCAGCCGCGGUAAUACGUAGGGGGCAAGCGUUAUCCGGAUUUACUGGGUGUAAAGGGAGCGUAGACGGCAAGGUAAGUCUGAAGUGAAAUGCCGGGGCUCAACCCCGGAACUGCUUUGGAAACUAUCUCGCUCGAGUAUCGGAGGGGUAAGCGGAAUUCCUAGUGUAGCGGUGAAAUGCGUAGAUAUUAGGAGGAACACCAGUGGCGAAGGCGGCUUACUGGACGGUAACUGACGUUGAGGCUCGAAAGCGUGGGGAGCAAACAGGAUUAGAUACCCUGGUA